This 233-nucleotide ribosomal RNA is filed under the name uncultured Actinomycetales bacterium. Its description in RNAcentral is "partial 16S ribosomal RNA". It matches the Rfam family "Bacterial small subunit ribosomal RNA", at positions 97 to 334 of the family's 1533-position model. The record is from RNAcentral. Lineage: Bacteria; Bacillati; Actinomycetota; Actinomycetes; Actinomycetales.
GGCGAACGGGUGAGUAACACGUGGGUGAUCUGCCCUGCACUUCGGGAUAAGCCUGGGAAACUGGGUCUAAUACCGGAUAGGACGAUGGUUUGGAUGCCAUUGUGGAAAGUUUUUCGGUGUGGGAUGAGCUCGCGGCCUAUCAGCUUGUUGGUGGGGUAAUGGCCUACCAAGGCGUCGACGGGUAGCCGGCCUGAGAGGGUGUACGGCCACAUUGGGACUGAGACACGGCCCAG